Molecule: ribosomal RNA, 497 nt
Filed under: uncultured bacterium
Lineage: Bacteria
Description: partial 16S ribosomal RNA
Rfam family: Bacterial small subunit ribosomal RNA
Source: RNAcentral
GAUGAACGCUGGCGGCGUGCCUAAUACAUGCAAGUCGAGCGAACGGACGAGAAGCUUGCUUCUCUGAUGUUAGCGGCGGACGGGUGAGUAACACGUGGAUAACCUACCUAUAAGACUGGGAUAACUUCGGGAAACCGGAGCUAAUACCGGAUAAUAUUUUGAACCGCAUGGUUCAAAAGUGAAAGACGGUCUUGCUGUCACUUAUAGAUGGAUCCGCGCUGCAUUAGCUAGUUGGUAAGGUAACGGCUUCCCAAGGCAACGAUGCAUAGCCGACCUGAGAGGGUGAUCGGCCACACUGGAACUGAGACACGGUCCAGACUCCUACGGGAGGCAGCAGUAGGGAAUCUUCCGCGAUGGGCGAAAGCUUGACGGAGCAACGCCGCGUGAGUGAUGAAGGUCUUCGGAUCGUAAAACUCUGUUAUUAGGGAAGAACAUAUGUGUAAGUAACUGUGCACAUCUUGACGGUACCUAAUCAGAAAGCCACGGCUAACUACGUG